AUUCUAUAAUUGAGACAAACAAUUGUGUCUGAAUAUGCCUACUUUCAUACUAUAUGGUAGGUGAAAAACAGUAUAUGAACAGAGUAGUAUGUCUGAAUUCAUAGAAUUCGAAAAAUACAGAUGACCUACUACUUCUUAUUACUAUUCAGUCUGUUAAUAUUUUCCCAUAUUGUUAGGCUUAUAGAUAAAAUACAAGUUCUUAUAAGUUCUUUUUUUAUUUCAUUGUUUAAUUGUGUAUAAUAAACAAUUUUGAUGCUGUUUUACGGCACCAAAUCUAGGUCCCGAAGAAAAACUACUGACAUAGUCUGCUGAAUAUAAUUUUCUAUGGUAAUGGAGAACUUCAGUUUACUAGUAUUCCAAUUAGUAAUGGAUUCAAGUGAAAAGCAUUAGGUCUUUGGGAAUAAUCCUUCUGACAUCUUAACAAAGGACUUUAGUUUGAUGAGUGACACCACAGCGUAUGCUCAGGUUUACUGAUGUAUUCUUGCCACCUUAUGUACGAUCAAAUUCAAUGCCAAGCAAUGGGAAAAAAAGAAGUUAACAAAGACACCUAUCGGUUUCAGCUGGGAACAUGCCAACUAUCAAAAUAUUGCUUGAGGAGAUACUAAAGUUGGAGUAGAAGUGGCCAAACAACUUAUCUGGCUUUCUCUAGAGAAAUAAAGGAGCUAAUGGGCCGGGUCGCUAUCACCGUUUCCUUCCGUCCAAUCAAGCUUUCGUCCCUGAGAAAUGGAAUGCUCAUCUACAUAUCAAGUUCACACAGUGUAGCCACCGAAAGCUUGAAUGGAAAUAAACAGCAGAACAACCUUGA
Sinocyclocheilus anshuiensis is the source of this 805-nucleotide long non-coding RNA. RefSeq lists it as uncharacterized. The transcript is spliced from 3 exons. The record is from RefSeq and is a predicted model, not a curated record. NCBI's taxonomy places the organism in Eukaryota, Metazoa, Chordata, Actinopteri, Cypriniformes, Cyprinidae.